This 410-nucleotide ribosomal RNA is filed under the name Schistocerca lineata (birdwing grasshopper). RNAcentral's name for it is "partial 16S ribosomal RNA". The record is from RNAcentral. Lineage: Eukaryota; Metazoa; Arthropoda; Insecta; Orthoptera; Acrididae.
UUAUUUAUUUUAUUAUAUUUAUUUUUUGUUUAUUUAAUUAUUUAAUAAAAAUAAUUUUAUUGAAUUUUGUCUUAGUAUAUUUUGUAGAAUUGAUUUUUUAAAUUAUAGUUUAUUGGUAAUGUAAUUGUUUUAUGAAAUAUUAUUUUAAAUUUUUAAAAGUAUAUUUUAUUUAUUGUACCUUUUGUAUCAGGGUUUAUCAAAAUUUUAGUAUUUAAUUUACUUGUCUCGAUUUGGGUUGAUUUAUAAAUAAUUUAUAGUUAAUGUAUCAUAAUUAUUAUUAAAUUAUUUAUGGAAAUGAAAUGKUAAUCGUUUCCCAAGAUAUCUAGUUUCUUAAGAAAAAUUUUAAUUUUUUAAAGUUAAKUGUUUUAUUUAAUUUUUUAAUUAUAAAUAUUAACUUAUUUAUUCUUUAA